UCAGAAGAAGAAGUUGUAGAAGGAGAGAAGGAAGUCGAGGCUUUGAAGAAAAGUGCGGACUGGGUAUCAGACUGGUCCAGUAGACCCGAAAACAUUCCACCCAAGGAGUUCCACUUCAGACACCCUAAACGUUCUGUGUCUUUAAGCAUGAGGAAAAGUGGAGCCAUGAAGAAAGGGGGUAUUUUCUCUGCAGAAUUUCUGAAGGUGUUCAUUCCAUCUCUCUUCCUUUCUCAUGUUUUGGCUUUGGGGCUAGGCAUCUAUAUUGGAAAGCGACUGAGCACACCCUCUGCCAGCACCUACUGAGGGAAAGGAAAAGCCCCUGGAAAUGCGUGUGACCUGUGAAGUGGUGUAUUGUCACAGUAGCUUAUUUGAACUUGAGACCAUUGUAAGCAUGACCCAACCUACCACCC
Molecule: small RNA, 410 nt
Filed under: Pongo abelii (Sumatran orangutan)
Lineage: Eukaryota; Metazoa; Chordata; Mammalia; Primates; Hominidae
Description: processed transcript
Source: RNAcentral